RNAcentral lists this ribosomal RNA (116 nucleotides) under Pteropus alecto (black flying fox). The record is from RNAcentral. Lineage: Eukaryota; Metazoa; Chordata; Mammalia; Chiroptera; Pteropodidae.
GCCUACAACUAUGCCACCCUGAACAAGCUCGAUGUCAGAUCUUGGUAACUGAGCAGGGUCGGGCCUGGUUAGUACUUGGAUAAGCGACCACCUAAGAAGACCUGGUGCUGUAGGCG